This is a long non-coding RNA of Homo sapiens (human), 940 nucleotides long. Lineage: Eukaryota; Metazoa; Chordata; Mammalia; Primates; Hominidae. The record is from Ensembl.
GGACAAGAAGGGUGACACCCACAGGGGCGGGAGCCCCAGGCUGGGUCAUGGAGCUCACACUAGGCCUGAACGUGUGCUGCACAUCUUGGCCAGAACAGACAACAGGGGCUAGAACAUCGGGAUUGGCGUGAAAUUCUGCAUCUGUCUUCUCGCUUGACCCUUGCAGUGGCUCGUGGGACUGGAUGGAACCCACUGACAGCUGGAGGCUGGAGGCAGCUCUUGGGACACUUCCCUGGCUUGGGCAGGCGUGGGAAGCCAGCACCCUGGGGUAUCAGCCAGGCCUCUGGCCAUAAGCAGCAGAUGGCUCUGAGAGGUGCCGAGCACGGAGCAUGAGUCUGCGCUGAUGUCAGCCUCCCAAAGUGUCUUGGCUGGGCCUCGAGGCCACCUCCACCCCCAGCAGUGCUGAGAAGCCCAAGGCCCGAGACUGACAAGCGUUUCCGGGGCUGGUACAUCCUGGGCUGGCUCCGAGGAGGGGUGGCUUCGGGCUGGGGCUGUUACCCUUAUCCAGGGACUAGAGCGAGGGCUGGAAAGUGCCCUUCCCUCCCCUCCAGGGGAAAAGACAACCCUGACAUGGGGGUCGAUGCCCCUUCCUCCAGGAAGCCCUCCUGGCCCUGGGUGGCCCCCUCUGUACCUGCGCCCCAUUACUAUGUAGUUGUUGGUUCUGAGCUGGGCUUUUGGUGAGGGGAGGACAGGGCUGUGUCCAAGCUGGCACUUGGAUGCCACUCUGCACGAGGCCUGUGCUAAGUCCUUUCCCAAGGGCUGGGUGCUGUGACCCUCCUGGGGAGGCGGGGAGCCCCUGGGAGGUUGGAUGCCUUGUCCAGGCAGCCUGGCUCCAGCCCUGUAUCCUGCUCAUGCUUUGUCCUAGCAUUCAGCAGUGUGCCUGGCACUUUGUGUGGCCUCAGCAGGUAGCUCCUGAAUAAAGGAAUGUGUGCCCACCUCA